This 205-nucleotide unclassified non-coding RNA is filed under the name Hevea brasiliensis (rubber tree). Lineage: Eukaryota; Viridiplantae; Streptophyta; Magnoliopsida; Malpighiales; Euphorbiaceae. The record is from RNAcentral.
CCUCCCUUUGCAAAUUGCAAGCUGGUAAUAUAGGAAUGAGACGCAUUUAGUAAUAGGGUUUGCAGUCUUUUGUGUUCGUGCUUUUCUUUGUGAUGACUAUAAUUAUAUAUAUCUUAAUGAUUCCCACUUUAAUUCUCUGUUGGUUUAGAAUUACCAAUUGCAAGGAGACAUUCUCUUCAGAGAUUUUUUGAGAAGCGACGGGACA